This 800-nucleotide ribosomal RNA is filed under the name uncultured bacterium. RNAcentral describes it as "bacterial SSU rRNA". It matches the Rfam family "Bacterial small subunit ribosomal RNA", at positions 8 to 811 of the family's 1533-position model. The record is from RNAcentral.
AGAGUUUGAUCAUGGCUCAGGAUGAACGCUGGCGGCGUGCUUAACACAUGCAAGUCGAACGGGGAUACGCGCUGAGGAAGCUUGGCGGAUUCUUGCGUAUCUUAGUGGCGGACGGGUGAGUAACGCGUGGGUAACCUGCCUUGUACUGGGGGAUAACAGUUGGAAACGACUGCUAAUACCGCAUAAGCGCCCGGUAUCGCAUGAUACAGAGUGAAAAACUGGUGGUACAAGAUGGAUCCGCGUCUGAUUAGCUGGUUGGUGGGGUAACGGCCCACCAAGGCGACGAUCAGUAGCCGGCCUGAGAGGGUGAACGGCCACAUUGGGACUGAGACACGGCCCAAACUCCUACGGGAGGUAGCAGUGGGGAAUAUUGCACAAUGGGGGAAACCCUGAUGCAGCGACGCCGCGUGAGUGAAGAAGUAUUUCGGUAUGUAAAGCUCUAUCAGCAGGGAAGAAAAUGACGGUACCUGACUAAGAAGCCCCGGCUAACUACGUGCCAGCAGCCGCGGUAAUACGUAGGGGGCAAGCGUUAUCCGGAUUUACUGGGUGUAAAGGGAGCGUAGACGGUAUGGCAAGUCUGAAGUGAAAACCCGAGGCUCAACCCCGGGACUGCUUUGGAAACUGUCAAACUGGAGUGCAGGAGAGGUAAGUGGAAUUCCUAGUGUAGCGGUGAAAUGCGUAGAUAUUAGGAGGAACACCAGUGGCGAAGGCGGCUUACUGGACUGUAACUGACGUUGAGGCUCGAAAGCGUGGGGAGCAAACAGGAUUAGAUACCCUGGUAGUCCACGCCGUAAACGAUG